Molecule: long non-coding RNA, 497 nt
Organism: Daphnia pulex (common water flea)
Lineage: Eukaryota; Metazoa; Arthropoda; Branchiopoda; Diplostraca; Daphniidae
Exons: 3
Source: RefSeq, a predicted model, not a curated record
CAUUCCAUCUUCUAGGGAACCUUAGCUAACUGUUUGGUGGUUUCAUGUGUUUGAAACUACAUGGUUUCUAAAUUUGCAUGACAGACUUUAAGAAAAGUCAUGUUGAAGAAAAAGGACUGAGGACUGACUGUGACUGACAGUCAACAAGCUACCUGUUGGGCGUUGGCUGCUUCCCUUGAAUCUCCCUUUUUACUUCCUUAAGCUUGAUUUGAGGGUAAAUCCUUCGCUACUUAUCGUGGACUUCAUCCAUUGGGGAUGCUAUAAUUCAAGAGAAUGCUGUCAUUCAAGACUGAUAAAUUGUGUAGUUGUUAGAUAAAACAAGUGCAGUCAGUUAAGGCAGUGUCUCCUCCUGUCUUGAUUGACUGUAUGUGCGAGUUUCAAAAGCAGUUUAUCACCCAAAUGAGACAAAAGGAGUAUGUCGGUUUUAUUUGGGUAUAAAUUGCUUUAAAAUUUGCACAGAAAAACAUUUGGGUUGUACCGGAGGCUUUGUUUAUUAA